This 215-nucleotide long non-coding RNA is filed under the name Capsicum annuum. RNAcentral describes it as "long non-coding RNA (CANN_LNC019207)". Lineage: Eukaryota; Viridiplantae; Streptophyta; Magnoliopsida; Solanales; Solanaceae. The record is from RNAcentral.
CGGGGUCCAACCUGUAAUCUUAGUUGAAAGGGUACCAGUAUUGUGCCACAAGUACUAACUCUGGCUGUGUGAAUUCAUUUAUCUGAUAUCUUGAAGGACCACGGUAUUAGGAUAAAACUGACGGGUGACCCCUUAGAAGAAGUCAAGCCUAAACUGAUGGGUGACUUCUCUGAAAAAGUCAAUCUUAAACUGAUAGGUGACUCCUUAUAUCCUAU